RNAcentral lists this ribosomal RNA (431 nucleotides) under uncultured bacterium. RNAcentral's name for it is "partial 16S ribosomal RNA". It matches the Rfam family "Bacterial small subunit ribosomal RNA", at positions 29 to 507 of the family's 1533-position model. The record is from RNAcentral.
AACGAACGCUGGCGGCAGGCCUAACACAUGCAAGUCGAGCGCCCUUUCGGGGGAGCGGCGGACGGGUGAGUAACGCGUGGGAAUAUGCCCUUCUCUACGGAAUAGCCUCGGGAAACUGAGAGUAAUACCGUAUACGCCCUGUGGGGGACAGAUUUAUCGGGGAAGGAUUAGCCCGCGUUGGAUUAGGUAGUGGGUGGGGUAAUGGCCUACCAAGCCGACGAUCCAUAGCUGGUUUGAGAGGAUGAUCAGCCACACUGGGACUGAGACACGGCCCAGACUCCUACGGGAGGCAGCAGUGGGGAAUCUUAGACAAUGGGGGCAACCCUGAUCGAGCCAUGCCGCGUGAGUGAUGAAGGCCUUAGGGUUGUAAAGCUCUUUAAGCUGGGAAGAUAAUGACGGUACCAGCAGAAGAAGCCCCGGCUAACUCCGUG